This 396-nucleotide long non-coding RNA is filed under the name Zea mays. RNAcentral describes it as "drought-responsive long non-coding RNA". Lineage: Eukaryota; Viridiplantae; Streptophyta; Magnoliopsida; Poales; Poaceae. The record is from RNAcentral.
AUGAGGCCUCGGGUGUUACUCGUCACACUGGCUGUUAUCGUCGUCGUCCUUGCAGCUCUGCCACUCAGCAAAGUCCAAUGCCUGGACUUCUCGAUGGUCGGGUGCCACCCAGAGUGCAAGCGGUGCAUCAGGUACACCGCCGACGGUGGCGUCGACAUCCCGCCCGUGCACGCCUACCGCUGCGCCGACAUCCUCGUCAACUUCUGCGAGCGCCGCUGCACUCCCGCCGCAGCUGCUUCUAUGUGUAGCGCUAGACCAAGUAGAAGGAUGCAUGCAUGCCAUGCAUCCUCGUCGAUCUGCAUGCCAUUGCCGGGUGCCGCUUCUGAGAAGAAGCAAAUAAAUGUUGCCGCUGUUGAUGCGUGCUGCCUCUCCUUAAAUAAACUAAUAUUUCUGUAA